This 208-nucleotide unclassified non-coding RNA is filed under the name uncultured fungus. Its description in RNAcentral is "sequence contains ITS1". Lineage: Eukaryota; Fungi. The record is from RNAcentral.
UUUUAACGAUUUAUAUCUAUACUCAGACGGCACAGUUAUCAGAAUUUGAAUUGGCUACCGGCGGGCACGGGCCAGGGGCGGAAAAGCCCCCGGCAGCCCCAAAGGGCGGGCCCGCCAAAGCAACAUGGUUGGUUAAACAAAGGGUUGGAGGUCGGGCCUGGAAGACCCUUACUCGGUAAUGAUCCUUCCGCAGGUUCACCUACGGAAA